GGUUGAUCCUGCCAGUAGUCAUAUGCUUGUCUCAAAGAUUAAGCCAUGCAUGUCUAAGUAUAAACAAAUUCAUACUGUGAAACUGCGAAUGGCUCAUUAAAUCAGUUAUAGUUUAUUUGAUGGUAUCUUGCUACAUGGAUAACUGUGGUAAUUCUAGAGCUAAUACAUGCUGAAAAGCCCCGACUUCUGGAAGGGGUGUAUUUAUUAGAUAAAAAACCUUCGCCUUCGGGCUCUUGGUGAUUCAUAAUAACUUCUCGAAUCGCAUGGCCUUGUGCCGGCGAUGCUUCAUUCAA
This 293-nucleotide ribosomal RNA is filed under the name uncultured eukaryote. RNAcentral's name for it is "partial 18S ribosomal RNA". It matches the Rfam family "Eukaryotic small subunit ribosomal RNA", at positions 6 to 302 of the family's 1831-position model. The record is from RNAcentral.